Molecule: long non-coding RNA, 104 nt
Organism: Asparagus officinalis (garden asparagus)
Lineage: Eukaryota; Viridiplantae; Streptophyta; Magnoliopsida; Asparagales; Asparagaceae
Exons: 3
Source: RefSeq, a predicted model, not a curated record
UUUGGGAAUUGGUCAAUUGUUUUCCGAAUUAGGGCUUGCUUCAAGUGUUCUAAUUGAUCCUGUGUCAAUUUCAUCAGGUCAUCAGAUAUUCUACUUGGUUGGAU